Molecule: long non-coding RNA, 512 nt
Filed under: Struthio camelus australis
Lineage: Eukaryota; Metazoa; Chordata; Aves; Struthioniformes; Struthionidae
Description: lncRNA (ENSSCUG00000011263.1)
Source: RNAcentral
CUCUUUGCUCUGACUACCACGUCUGACGGACUGCAUUUCUUUCAUUGCAGGUGCGGAAAUGGCAGGAGGAAAUGAGUUAAAAAUGGCAGAGGUUGUCUUCCUAAACUGCUGACUUUUCCUGGCAGAGUGCAACGCUCUGUUCAGAGGUGAUCUCAAAGGAGAAUGCUCAGGGGGAAUUCAGGGACCAGAGAUUUAAUGACUGCAGUUUUAUAGUCUUCAUCAGACCAUCAAGGCUAUAGUCCAAAGAUAGGAGUUAUCAUCUCCAUGAAUUCUGUCAUCUCAAUCAACCUUCAAGGGAAAAUCAUCGCAAGAAGGCCUCAGGGUGACCGUAUUAGCCUUACCUAUGUGGAGACCUCAUCUUCGCUUAGAGCUAGAAACUUUGGAAAUCUGGAUAAUCCCAUGCUUUUCCUCUGGAACAGGAGAUUUGGAGAAUGCGUAUGUCAGUAGGUAUCUAGGUGGUUUGACUAAAAGGAAGUGGUUGUUUGCACUAGAGAUGAUUAGUCACUUGGAAU